AGCACUUCUCGGCCUUUCAGCUAAGAUCAAGUGUAGCAUCUGUUAAUCAGUUUAAUAUCUCAUAUCUAAAGAGGACUACAUAUUAAAUAGAUUUUAGGACAGGGUGGUGGAAGAGGAGCUUGCUCCGUCCACUCCACGCAUCGACCUGGUAUUGCAGUACCUCUGGGAACGGUGCACCUCCU
Pygocentrus nattereri (red-bellied piranha) is the source of this 182-nucleotide small nuclear RNA. Its record names the gene U2. It matches the Rfam family "U2 spliceosomal RNA". Rfam says of the family: U2 is a small nuclear RNA (snRNA) component of the spliceosome (involved in pre-mRNA splicing). Lineage: Eukaryota; Metazoa; Chordata; Actinopteri; Characiformes; Serrasalmidae. The record is from Ensembl.